This 482-nucleotide ribosomal RNA is filed under the name uncultured bacterium. Its description in RNAcentral is "partial 16S ribosomal RNA". It matches the Rfam family "Bacterial small subunit ribosomal RNA", at positions 30 to 507 of the family's 1533-position model. The record is from RNAcentral.
AUUGAACGCUGGCGGCAUGCCUUACACAUGCAAGUCGAACGGUAACAGGUCUUCGGAUGCUGACGAGUGGCGCACGGGUGAGUAAUACAUCGGAACGUGCCCAGACGUGGGGGAUAACGAGGCGAAAGCUUUGCUAAUCCCGCAUACGAUCUAAGGAUGAAAGCAGGGGACCGCAAGGCCUUGCGCGUUUGGAGCGGCCGAUGGCAGAUUAGGUAGUUGGUGGGAUAAAAGCUUACCAAGCCGACGAUCUGUAGCUGGUCUGAGAGGACGACCAGCCACACUGGGACUGAGACACGGCCCAGACUCCUACGGGAGGCAGCAGUGGGGAAUUUUGGACAAUGGGCGAAAGCCUGAUCCAGCAAUGCCGCGUGCAGGAUGAAGGCCUUCGGGUUGUAAACUGCUUUUGUACGGAACGAAAAGGCUCUGGCUAAUACCUGGGGCACAUGACGGUACCGGAAGAAUAAGCACCGGCUAACUACGUG